Molecule: ribosomal RNA, 496 nt
Filed under: uncultured bacterium
Lineage: Bacteria
Description: partial 16S ribosomal RNA
Rfam family: Bacterial small subunit ribosomal RNA
Source: RNAcentral
GAUGAACGCUGGCGGAAUGCUUUACACAUGCAAGUCGAACGGUAGAGGGGGCAACCCCUCGAGAGUGGCGAACGGGUGAGUAAUAUAUCGGAACGUGCCCAGUCGUGGGGGAUAACGUAGCGAAAGUUACGCUAAUACCGCAUACGAUCUAAGGAUGAAAGCGGGGGAUCGCAAGACCUCGCGCGAUUGGAGCGGCCGAUAUCAGAUUAGGUAGUUGGUGGGGUAAAGGCUCACCAAGCCAACGAUCUGUAGCUGGUCUGAGAGGACGACCAGCCACACUGGAACGAAGACACGGUCCAGACUCCUACGGGAGGCAGCAGUGGGGAAUUUUGGACAAUGGACGCAAGUCUGAUCCAGCCAUUCCGCGUGCAGGAUGAAGGCCCUCGGGUUGUAAACUGCUUUUGUACGGAACGAAAAGGUCUCUCUUAAUACGGGGGGCUCAUGACGGUACCGUAAGAAUAAGCACCGGCUAACUACGUGCCAGCCGCCGCCGUAA